UCGAGGAUCUUCGGCAAUGCGCGCAAGCGCGACCGAGCGACGCCGCGUGGGCGACGAAGGCCUUCGGGUUGUAAAGCCCUGUCGGGGGGGAGAAAGCCGCAAGGUUGAUCUAUCCCCGGAGGAAGCACGGGCUAAGUUCGUGCCAGCAGCCGCGGUAAGACGAACCGUGCGAACGUUGUUCGGAAUCACUGGGCUUAAAGGGCGCGUAGGCGGGUCGAAAAGUCGGCGGUGAAAUCCCCCCGCUCAACGGGGGAACGGCCGCGGAUACUGUCGGCCUCGAGGGGGGUAGGGGCGAGCGGAACACUGGGUGGAGCGGUGAAAUGCGUUGAUAUCCAGCGGAACUCCGGUGGCGAAGGCGGCUCGCUGGACCUUCUCUGACGCUGAGGCGCGAAAGCCAGGGGAGCGAACGG
RNAcentral lists this ribosomal RNA (410 nucleotides) under uncultured bacterium. RNAcentral's name for it is "bacterial SSU rRNA". It matches the Rfam family "Bacterial small subunit ribosomal RNA", at positions 355 to 775 of the family's 1533-position model. The record is from RNAcentral.